Molecule: transfer RNA, 61 nt
Filed under: Gondogeneia antarctica
Lineage: Eukaryota; Metazoa; Arthropoda; Malacostraca; Amphipoda; Pontogeneiidae
Description: tRNA-Pro
Source: RNAcentral
CAAAAAGUAGUUUAAAUAAAACAGUAGUUUUGGAUACUACCGAUAAGUAUAUUCUUUUUGA